CACCGCGGUUAUACGAGAGGCCCAGGUUGACAGCCACCGGCGUAAAGCGUGGUUAAGUUUAAAAUUAAUACUAAAGCCGAAUGAACACAAAGCUGUUAUACGCACUCGAAACCAGAAGCCCAAUUACGAAAGUAGCUUUAUAUUAACUGAACCCACGAAAGCUAGGGCA
RNAcentral lists this ribosomal RNA (169 nucleotides) under Sacura margaritacea (cherry anthias). RNAcentral describes it as "partial 12S rRNA". Lineage: Eukaryota; Metazoa; Chordata; Actinopteri; Perciformes; Anthiadidae. The record is from RNAcentral.